AUGAUCUAAAGCCAAAUUUAAGAGUGAUUAGUAAAAGAAAAGAGAACUGUAAUGUAAGUAAUGUGUAAAAUGGUAUGUUACAGGUGGAGCAGAGAGGCUAAGCAAAGAUUCGUACAUUGCACUGGCGGCCUGUCUGGCGAUAAUUCUCAGUGUUCUGGCUCUGGUUGUUCUCAUCGCCGCAGUCUGGAGAAUAAAGAAGUGGAAAUUAGAGCAAAAUCUGAGAGCACCAGGAGCCGGAAGACAGACAAAAAACCCUCCAACAGAUCAAACACCGGAAGUGUUUGUUAUUCCAUAACAAGAACUGCAGGUUCUUCUGCAACUACAUCAGCACCAACAAGAAUCGCUGGAACUGGAACACUUUUUACUCAGGCAUGA
RNAcentral lists this long non-coding RNA (375 nucleotides) under Astyanax mexicanus (Mexican tetra). RNAcentral describes it as "lncRNA (ENSAMXG00005020314.1)". The record is from RNAcentral. Lineage: Eukaryota; Metazoa; Chordata; Actinopteri; Characiformes; Acestrorhamphidae.